Molecule: ribosomal RNA, 720 nt
Filed under: uncultured Planctomycetota bacterium
Lineage: Bacteria; Pseudomonadati; Planctomycetota
Description: bacterial SSU rRNA
Rfam family: Bacterial small subunit ribosomal RNA
Source: RNAcentral
GAGCACGUAGGUGGGUUUGUAAGUCAGACGUGAAAGCCUCCUGUUCAACGGGAGAAUUGCAUCUGAAACUGCAGAUCUUGAGUAUAGGAGGGGAGAAUGGAACUUCUGGUGGAGCGGUGAAAUGCGUAGAUAUCAGAAGGAACGCCGGCGGCGAAAGCGAUUCUCUGGCCUAUUACUGACACUCAGUGUGCGAAAGCUAGGGGAGCAAACGGGAUUAGAUACCCCGGUAGUCCUAGCCGUAAACGAUGGGCACUAAGUAGAGGGAAUUACCGAUAUUCUCUCUGCCGUAGCUAACGCAUUAAGUGCCCCGCCUGGGGAGUACGGCCGCAAGGCUAAAACUCAAAAGAAUUGACGGGGGCUCGCACAAGCGGUGGAGCAUGUGGCUUAAUUCGAUGCAACGCGAAAAACCUUACCGGGGCUUGACAUGGUAGAAGUAGGAACCCGAAAGGGUAACGAACGGUAUCCAGUCCGUAGCUAUUACAGGUGUUGCAUGGCUGUCGUCAGCUCGUGUCGUGAGACGUUGGGUUAAGUCCCCUAACGAGCGAAACCCUUGUUUUUAGUUGCCAGCGGGUUAUGCCGGGCACUCUAGAAAGACUGCCGUCGUCAAGACGGAGGAAGGUGGGGAUGACGUCAAGUCAUCAUGGCCCUUAUGCCCCGGGCUGCACACGUGCUACAAUGGUCGGUACAAACGGAAGCGAAGCCGAGAGGUGAAGCGAAUCC